AACGAACGCUGGCGGCGUGCCUAACACAUGCAAGUCGAGCGCGAAAAGGGCAACCUGAGUAGAGCGGCGCACGGGUGCGUAACACGUGGGUAAUCUGCCUUAGAGUCGAGGAUAACCUUCCGAAAGGUUGGCUAAUACUCGGUAAGCUUACGGUGUCUUCGGACGCUGUGGGAAAAGUAGGCCUCUGUUUACAAGCUUACGCUCUGAGAUGAGCCCGCGCGCCCAUCAGCUAGUUGGCGGUGUAACGGACCACCAAGGCAACGACGGGUAGCUGGUCUGAGAGGACGAUCAGCCACACUGGAACUGAGACACGGUCCAGACUCCUACGGGAGGCAGCAGUGGGGAAUUUUCCACAAUGGGCGAAAGCCUGAUGGAGCAACGCCGCGUGUGUGAUGAAGGUUUUCGGAUCGUAAAGCACUUUCGACUGGGACGAAAAACCUUUGGCUAACAUCCAGGGGCCUGACGGUACCAGGAGAAGAAGCACCGGCUAACUCUGUGCCAGCCGCCGCGGUAA
Molecule: ribosomal RNA, 514 nt
Filed under: uncultured bacterium
Lineage: Bacteria
Description: partial 16S ribosomal RNA
Rfam family: Bacterial small subunit ribosomal RNA
Source: RNAcentral